GAGGCUGUACUUUCAGGGAUCAUUUCUACAGUCCAUUACUAGAGAAGUUUCUCUGCUUGAGUAGAGCACCCAAAACCACAAACAGGAGCCAAAGUUUCCCCUGCUGAGCCUGAAGCCAGGUGUAGGUGUUGUUAUUGCAGCUGCCUUUUACCAUUGGUAAUUGUUCUUCUCUUCCCUGCAAGAGGGAGAAGGAGAGAUGUAGUCUGAGUUG
Molecule: small nucleolar RNA, 211 nt
Filed under: Sorex araneus (European shrew)
Lineage: Eukaryota; Metazoa; Chordata; Mammalia; Eulipotyphla; Soricidae
Description: Small nucleolar RNA U3 (ENSSARG00000017047.1)
Rfam family: Small nucleolar RNA U3
About the family: Small nucleolar RNAs (snoRNAs) are involved in the processing and modification of rRNA in the nucleolus. There are two main classes of snoRNAs: the box C/D class, and the box H/ACA class. U3 snoRNA is a member of the box C/D class.
Source: RNAcentral